CUAUACAUGCAGUCGAGCGAGCCGAACUAAUUGAUUACCUUCGGGUAUGAAGUUAGGGAAGCGAGCGGCGGAUGGGUGAGUAACACGUGGGUAACCUACCCUAUAGUCUGGGAUACCACUUGGAAACAGGUGCUAAUACCGGAUAAAAGGAGAGAUCACAUGAUUUCUUUUUGAAAGGCGGCGUAAGCUGUCGCUAAAGGAUGGACCCGCGGUGCAUUAGCUAGUUGGUAAGGUAACGGCUUACCAAGGCAACGAUGCAUAGCCGAGUUGAGAGACUGAUCGGCCACAUUGGGACUGAGACACGGCCCAAACUCCUACGGGAGGCAGCAGUAGGGAAUCUUCCACAAUGGACGCAAGUCUGAUGGAGCAACGCCGCGUGAGUGAAGAAGGUUUUCGAAUCGUAAAGCUCUGUUGUUGGUGAAGAAAGAUAGUGAGAGUAACUGCUCAUUAUUUGCCGGUAAUCAACCAGAAAGUCACGGCUAACUACGUGCCAGCAGCCGCGGUAAUACGUAGGUGGCAAGCGUUGUCCGGAUUUAUUGGGCGCAAAGCGAGCGCAGGCGGAAAGAUAAGUCAGAUGUGAAAGCCCUCGGCUUAACCGAGGAAUAGCAUCGGAAACUGUCUUUCUUGAGUGCAGAAGAGGAGAGUGGAACUCCAUGUGUAGCGGUGGAAUGCGUAGAUAUAUGGAAGAACACCAGUGGCGAAGGCGGCUCUCUGGUCUGUAACUGACGCUGAGGCUCGAAAG
RNAcentral lists this ribosomal RNA (742 nucleotides) under uncultured bacterium. RNAcentral's name for it is "bacterial SSU rRNA". It matches the Rfam family "Bacterial small subunit ribosomal RNA", at positions 49 to 759 of the family's 1533-position model. The record is from RNAcentral.